UGGGUAACCUGCCUCAAAGAGGGGAAUAGCCUCCCGAAAGGGAGAUUAAUACCGCAUAAUAUGUUUAGGUCGCAUGACUUUAACAUCAAAGGAUUUUCUUUUAAGAAAUUCCACUUUGAGAUGGACCCGCGGCGCAUUAGCUAGUUGGUGAGGUAACGGCUCACCAAGGCAACGAUGCGUAGCCGACCUGAGAGGGUGAUCGGCCACAUUGGAACUGAGACACGGUCCAGCUCCGUAGGG
RNAcentral lists this ribosomal RNA (240 nucleotides) under uncultured bacterium. RNAcentral's name for it is "partial 16S ribosomal RNA". It matches the Rfam family "Bacterial small subunit ribosomal RNA", at positions 118 to 345 of the family's 1533-position model. The record is from RNAcentral.